Daucus carota subsp. sativus is the source of this 625-nucleotide long non-coding RNA. RefSeq lists it as uncharacterized. The transcript is spliced from 4 exons. NCBI's taxonomy places the organism in Eukaryota, Viridiplantae, Streptophyta, Magnoliopsida, Apiales, Apiaceae. The record is from RefSeq and is a predicted model, not a curated record.
CUUUUACACUAUCUUCGUAGUCGCCGCUCCUCACCAUUUUUCUUCAUACUCUUCUCUCUAUCUAUCAAAUUCUCCACUUUCCUCUAUAUUAAUAGAAUAAAUUUUCUUUCGGUGACUUACAAGAUUAUGAUUACUACGAAGUAUAAUACGAUCUAAGUGAUAUUUUGUAUUUCUUGUGAUUAUUAUUCAUCUUUUAUAUUAUGCGUGAGAAAUGCUUCAGAUGUAACUCAUAAACAAUGAAGAAAAUGCUCCACACAUCAUAUAUUCAUCAAAGGCAUCUACUGACGGUACAAGGGCUACCUCAAUCUUGGCUAUAAGGAGCACUGAUCUUGUGGAGGUCUUGAUGAAUACGCCUAAUCCUAUCUGGGGUAUGGAAGAUGUCAUUCACCAAUCUCCCCGAAUUCCUCUAAACCAGAGAAGGAACAAGCACAAGGAGAAACCUAAAGGAGAGAAACGAGAUCUUCCAUUUUUAGAAGACUCGCAGAAAAAUCUCAUGAAUCUCAAAAGAUGAAAAUAAGUCGUGUCCUUGUUAUUUAUUAUUUCACAAAGUGUAUUUUAAAUAGUUUCAAAACAAUGUUAAUAUUAAUCUAGCAUUCAAAAUAUAAUGGAGAUAGAUCGAUUCACA